This 1076-nucleotide long non-coding RNA is filed under the name Malus domestica (apple). Its description in RNAcentral is "long non-coding RNA (MDOM_LNC018256)". Lineage: Eukaryota; Viridiplantae; Streptophyta; Magnoliopsida; Rosales; Rosaceae. The record is from RNAcentral.
ACAUUACGAUACCAUGAUGGGAAAUUGUGCCCCCCUCUAGGCAAUGUUUGUCGAGUAUUUUCGCGAGUGUGCUUCCAACCAUAUCUAUAUACAUAAACAAAUAAAAUAAUUAGAUUGAUUGUUGAUUAAGUCAAACGAUUUGGGUCUUUAAACCGAAUGACACCACCCACUAUUUUUGGCAAAUUCCAUAUCCCCCAUAAUGGAAUCCGGGAGAUUUCAAAGAAAGCUCCUAGCGGGUUAAUGGGAGGCUCACUAUUACCAAGCCCACCUCACGAUGAUACGAUGUCGGCUAGCAACAAUAAUAAUGAGAGGGUACAAGUACCCAUUCACAACAACCUCUUGUGAUUACCCAUCUUUUUGGCCUCUAGAAAAUAAUACCUCACGAUGAUACGAUGUUGGCAUUAUGUUUCUUAGUUAAGUUCUUUCCCACCAUGCCGGUUUUGCUAGGGGUUCAAGCAUGACCUCACGAUGAUACGAUGUUGGCCACACUCGUUGCCUACCUUAACCUCAUCAAAUGUUUUAAAUAAACUCCUCCUGAAUAUAAGCAUGCACUUUGUCACUUCCCAUGAUGAUAGGGUGAAGGCGGUGUACAAGUCAUAAACGCUUGGAGCCUACCACGGUGGAAGACCACGAAAAAGUGUUCUAAGCACUCUUACGCUUACAACUUAAUAUUGUUUGGUUGAGGGAUUUUAAGGUCUCAUCAAUUUUAUUUAUUUAAUCACAAUCAAAUAAAUUGUCCUAUUAUAACUACUAGUCCAAAGUUAAUGAAUUUAGUAGCAUAUAAUAUCCCCACUAUUCGUUUUCAUAAAACAAAUCAAUAUCAAAACAUUUUUCAAAAUAUUGGAGAUAUAUAUAUAACUACUAAUUGUAUUCAUUAUAGUCUAGUAGCGUAUGAUACUCCCACUAUUUGUUUUGAGAAAAACAAAUCAAUAUCAAAAACGAAUUUUUCAAAUAUUGGAAGUAACUACUACUACUAAGGUUUUUGCAUUCCUUUGAAUUUGAACUUUAUAGUUAUCUUAGGCUCUUGGAUGACUAUGGACUUAUUAGGUUAUUGCAACAACGAGCCAUCAUUGUUG